Gossypium arboreum is the source of this 284-nucleotide long non-coding RNA. RefSeq lists it as uncharacterized. The transcript has 3 exons. The record is from RefSeq and is a predicted model, not a curated record. Lineage: Eukaryota; Viridiplantae; Streptophyta; Magnoliopsida; Malvales; Malvaceae.
AGUUUUUCCAUCUUUGUUCAUCAUAGCUGAAAGUUAGAGAAGAGAAAGGAGAGGAGAAAGCUCUUGAGUAUUUGGUCAUUAGGAGGAGGAAAAUUGAAGGCGGUUCGUAUGUGGAUCUCGUCAGCAUAUCGUCGCAAACAGGAAAUCCCCAACUAUAGUGGGCUUGGAGCUGUAAGAGAAUUUGAAGUGGCCACCCGUUCUGAAAGUUUGAUUUUCUUCUGGUGAACUGGACAUCCUUUUAAUUACGUUUGAGGUUUUGGGCUUUUAAAUGUAAUAAGGCCGCU